GGGUUGUGAGGUUAAGCGACUAAGCGUACACGGUGGAUGCCCUGGCAGUCAGAGGCGAUGAAGGACGUGCUAAUCUGCGAUAAGCGUCGGUAAGGUGAUAUGAACCGUUAUAACCGGCGAUUUCCGAAUGGGGAAACCCAGUGUGUUUCGACACACUAUCAUUAACUGAAUCCAUAGGUUAAUGAGGCGAACCGGGGGAACUGAAACAUCUAAGUACCCCGAGGAAAAGAAAUCAACCGAGAUUCCCCCAGUAGCGGCGAGCGAACGGGGAGCAGCCCAGAGCCUGAAUCAGUGUGUGUGUUAGUGGAAGCGUCUGGAAAGGCGCGCGAUACAGGGUGACAGCCCCGUACACAAAAAUGCACAUACUGUGAGCUCGAUGAGUAGGGCGGGACACGUGGUAUCCUGUCUGAAUAUGGGGGGACCAUCCUCCAAGGCUAAAUACUCCUGACUGACCGAUAGUGAACCAGUACCGUGAGGGAAAGGCGAAAAGAACCCCGGCGAGGGGAGUGAAAAAGAACCUGAAACCGUGUACGUACAAGCAGUGGGAGCCUCUUUAUGGGGUGACUGCGUACCUUUUGUAUAAUGGGUCAGCGACUUAUAUUCUGUAGCAAGGUUAACCGAAUAGGGGAGCCGAAGGGAAACCGAGUCUUAACUGGGCGUUAAGUUGCAGGGUAUAGACCCGAAACCCGGUGAUCUAGCCAUGGGCAGGUUGAAGGUUGGGUAACACUAACUGGAGGACCGAACCGACUAAUGUUGAAAAAUUAGCGGAUGACUUGUGGCUGGGGGUGAAAGGCCAAUCAAACCGGGAGAUAGCUGGUUCUCCCCGAAAGCUAUUUAGGUAGCGCCUCGUGAAUUCAUCUCCGGGGGUAGAGCACUGUUUCGGCAAGGGGGUCAUCCCGACUUACCAACCCGAUGCAAACUGCGAAUACCGGAGAAUGUUAUCACGGGAGACACACGGCGGGUGCUAACGUCCGUCGUGAAGAGGGAAACAACCCAGACCGCCAGCUAAGGUCCCAAAGUCAUGGUUAAGUGGGAAACGAUGUGGGAAGGCCCAGACAGCCAGGAUGUUGGCUUAGAAGCAGCCAUCAUUUAAAGAAAGCGUAAUAGCUCACUGGUCGAGUCGGCCUGCGCGGAAGAUGUAACGGGGCUAAACCAUG
Molecule: ribosomal RNA, 1157 nt
Filed under: Escherichia coli
Lineage: Bacteria; Pseudomonadati; Pseudomonadota; Gammaproteobacteria; Enterobacterales; Enterobacteriaceae
Description: partial 23S ribosomal RNA
Rfam family: Bacterial large subunit ribosomal RNA
Source: RNAcentral